RNAcentral lists this long non-coding RNA (2585 nucleotides) under Nicotiana tabacum (common tobacco). RNAcentral describes it as "long non-coding RNA (NTAB_LNC007321)". Lineage: Eukaryota; Viridiplantae; Streptophyta; Magnoliopsida; Solanales; Solanaceae. The record is from RNAcentral.
CCGUAUGCCCGCUCGAUUCUUUGUUUCGUUCUUAACUAUCACCUGUUGAUCUCAGAACACGAUCCCGGCUUAAUUACUUGGGGUUUUACUCAGAUUUCAAAGCUCCAAAUUACUUGAAUUCAUUCCAUAAUAUCUACAUAGUUCGGAAUCACUCCUACAAGGCAUAAAAUACAAAUUAGUAUAAAACACUAGCGAUUAAAGCUCAAACUCAAUUAAAAUGCAGUACAUUAGAGUGUAAUAAGCGACUAAAAUACGCAAUUAUCGCCUAUCAUGAGCUUGUUUUGAUUUCUUCUAUUAAUGUUAGACAAUCACCUGUGAUAAGCAUAUCAUCUACACAGACAAGUACCAUAGUAAUACCUUCUGAAGUUCUUUUUAAGAAUAGAGAAUGAUCAUGUUGACUCUGCUGAAAUUGUGAAUGAGUCAAAGCCUCUGUUAAUUUUGCAUUCCAUUGUCUUGGAGCUUGCUUUAAUCCAUACAAGGAUUUUACAAGUCUACAAACUGGUCUAUUCUCCCCCUGACUUGUGAAACCUUGAGGUAAUUACAUAUAAAUCUCAUCAAAUAAAUCUCCUUGUAGAAAGGCAUUAUAGACAUCCAUCUAGUGAAUAUGCCAAUUCUAAGUUGCUGAUAAAGCUAGAACUGUCCUGACAGUUUUUAUUUUUACUACUGGUGAAAAAGUUUCUUGGUAGUCUAUACCUCCUUUCUGACUGAACCCUUUUGCUACUAGUCUGGCUUUAAACCUCUCUACUUCACUUGUGACUUUGUACUUUACUUUAUAGAUGCCCUUCCAGCCUAUAAGAUUUUUGCCUGCUGGUAGAGGAACUAUGUCAUAGGUGUGAUUAUUUUGCAAAGUUUCAAUUUCACCUUUCAUUGCAUCAAUCCACCUAGGUUCCUUUGCAGCUUCGGAAUAGGUAGUUGGUUCAAUGAUAUUUGAUGCUGAUGAUAUGUAGGCUUUGUAUUUGGGUGUGAUGUUGUCAUAAGUCAGAAACUUUGAUAAUGCAUAAGGUUCAUCUUGAUAAAUAUUAAGAGAUACAAAGUCUUUCAUCCAUAUAGGUGGUUUCUUACCUCUAUAGGAUUUUCUAAGUUCUAACUCUGCAGGAAGAAUAAUUGAUGUAGUUUGAGACUGUUAAAUCAUUGGUAUUUGUGUAAUUACUGUCCGUUGAACAAACUAUUGUGGUGUUUCUAAAAUAAGAGGAUCAUGUAGUUGUUGAGUUGAUGGUGCUUGUGUGAUCAAGUCUUGUUGAGAGGUUGACUUGGAGAGUGAUGAACUAGUUGAUUGUGUAUUCUGCUGAUUGUGUAUGCUUGCUUCAUGAUAGAGCAAGUUGCCAGGACUUGUGUAUAAUGAUGAUUGACCUUUAGUAAGAUAUAAAUUAUAUAAUGACUAAUUGCUGCUUUGAGGAGCAAAAUAUAGGUUGACUUUUGCUUUGUUGGCUUUUAAAUGGAAAAUAAUCUUCCUUAAAGAUGACAUCUUUGUUGACAAAAAAUAUUUUAUCAGUCAUGUCAUAUAACAACUAACCCUUCUAAUUGUGUGCAUAUCCCAUAUGAAUAGAAGUCUUUGAUCUAGGCAUUAGUUUAUCAUGCUGCUGAAUUAUUUUAGCAUAGCAUAGGCACCCUAUAACCCUUAGAUGAUGCACAAAUAACUGUGCUAGAAAAUCUAUAGAUAAGACAAACUGCAGCUUGAAUGCAAUGUCCCCAGAAUCUUAUGGGAAAAGCAGCUUGGAACCUAAUUGCUCGAUUUUUUUCUAAGAUAUGUCUAUAUUUCCUCUCAGUUACCCCAUUUUGCUGAGGGGUAUAUGGCCAUAUUUUUUGAUGAAUUAUUCAUUGAAUGUUGAACAUAUUAGUACACACUGAAUUAACAAAUUCUGUCCCAUUAUAAGUUCUGACCAUUUUCAGUGAUUUAUCAAAUUGAGUUUUCACAAAUGCAAAAAAUUGUUGCAAAACCAUACAUAUAUCAGACUUUAAUUUUAGUAAAAAUAUCCAUGUCAUUUUGGUAAAGUCAUCAACCACAGCUAGAAAAUACUUGUUGCCAUCAAAAGUAGGUAUUUUAUAAGGCCCCAAUAGGUCCAUAUGAAUGAGCUCAAAACAAGUAGUAGUUCUAAGAAUUGAUAUACCACAUAAGUAUUUGUGGGAAUUUUUCUUUGGAACAAGUUCCAUCAACCAACCCCAAUUUAUUUCUUCCUAGCAAGGCCAUUCUCAUAUAUCUAUACCACAGAGAGUAGUUUUCGAUACUUGUUAGUUGAAAUGAGAUGAUUUAAAUUCUACUCACAUUAGAUAGACUCAAGAACAAGGGGUGAUUGUAGUCAAGAUUUGGUGCAAAACCUGGUACAGUUCCCCCGAAUUGAUUUCCAGUAGAAUUGACUAGGACUGCAUGUAUGGGUUCUUCAUUUUCCAUUGCUCAGAAUUGUUGGUUGAAUUGUUAGAUUGAAUGACUGUUACUCAAAUUGCGGAAUUGAAUGAUCAAGUUUCAAGCUCUUAGAAGCUUGAGCUCUGACACCAUGAAGUAAUCUUGGGUUUCUUACCUAGAUGAGAAAAAGAGAGAGAUAGAGAUAGAGAGACAAAGAAGAAGAUAGCAAAAUAGAAAAAUGAUC